CUCCAGACUCCUACGGGAGGCAGCAGUGAGGAAUAUUGGUCAAUGGGCUUACGCCUGAACCAGCCAAGUCGCGUGAGGGAAGACUGCCCUAUGGGUUGUAAACCUCUUUUGUCAGGGAGCAAUUGGCGCUACGUGUAGCGUUAUCGAGAGUACCUGAAGAAAAAGCAUCGGCUAACUCCGUGCCAGCAGCCGCGGUAAUACGGAGGAUGCGAGCGUUAUCCGGAUUUACUGGGUGUAAAGGGAGCGUAGACGGCAUAGCAAGUCUGAAGUGAAAGCCCGUGGCUCAACCGCGGAACUGCUUUGGAAACUGUUAAGCUGGAGUACUGGAGAGGCAAGCGGAAUUCCUAGUGUAGCGGUGAAAUGCGUAGAUAUUAGGAGGAACACCAGUGGCGAAGGCGGCUUGCUGGACAGAGACUGACGUUGAGGCUCGAAAGCGUGGGGAGCAAACAGGAUUAGAUACCCCAGUAA
This 468-nucleotide ribosomal RNA is filed under the name uncultured bacterium. Its description in RNAcentral is "partial 16S ribosomal RNA". It matches the Rfam family "Bacterial small subunit ribosomal RNA", at positions 329 to 793 of the family's 1533-position model. The record is from RNAcentral.